Molecule: ribosomal RNA, 443 nt
Filed under: uncultured bacterium
Lineage: Bacteria
Description: partial 16S ribosomal RNA
Rfam family: Bacterial small subunit ribosomal RNA
Source: RNAcentral
CCUACGGGGGACAGCAGUGGGGAAUAUUGGGCAAUGGGCGCAAGCCUGACCCAGCAACGCCGCGUGAAGGAAGAAGGCUUUCGGGUUGUAAACUUCUUUUCUCAGGGACGAAGCAAGUGACGGUACCUGAGGAAUAAGCCACGGCUAACUACGUGCCAGCCGCCGCGGUACUAAGUAGGUGGCAAGCGUGAUCCGGAUUUACUGGGUGUAAAGGGCGUGUAGGCGGGACUGCAAGUCAGAUGUGAAAACCACGGGCUCAACCUGUGGCCUGCAGUUGAAACUGUAGUUCUUGAGUACUGGAGAGGCAGACGGAAUUCCUAGUGUAGCGGUGAAAUGCGUAGAUAUUAGGAGGAACAUCAGUGGCGAAGGCGGUCUGCUGGACAGCAACUGACGCUGAGGCGCGAAAGCGUGGGUAGCAAACAGGAUUAGAUACCCGUGUAGUC